UGGGUAAGACUUUUUGCACUUCAACUAUAGUAAAUAAUUAGUUUGAUCAAGGUAGAAGAGUAUGUAAAUUGAUUGAAUACUACAUGUCGGAGAAACUGCAACUGGCUCUCGUGGAUUCGGCUAUGUCACCGUUGCUACAGUUGAGGAUGCUAAGGAAUUUUUCAAUAGGAAAGCACCAUUUCUCAAGGCAAUAUGGUAAUGCCAUUAUCUAUGAGCAACAAUAUCUAUAGAUGCAUACCAAUUUUUUAAAUGUUUUUCCCACAAAAUGAUUAGUUGAGCAUCUUUCAAAGAA
Long non-coding RNA from Solanum stenotomum, 292 nucleotides. RefSeq lists it as uncharacterized. Lineage: Eukaryota; Viridiplantae; Streptophyta; Magnoliopsida; Solanales; Solanaceae. The transcript has 3 exons. The record is from RefSeq and is a predicted model, not a curated record.